RNAcentral lists this ribosomal RNA (253 nucleotides) under uncultured bacterium. Its description in RNAcentral is "partial 16S ribosomal RNA". It matches the Rfam family "Bacterial small subunit ribosomal RNA", at positions 524 to 776 of the family's 1533-position model. The record is from RNAcentral.
UACGUAGGGGGCAAGCGUUGUUCGGAUUUAUUGGGCGUAAAGAGCGUGUAGGCGGCCAGGUAGGUCGGUUGUGAAAACUCGAGGCUCAACCUCGAGAUGUCGACCGAAACCAUCUGGCUAGAGUCCGGAAGAGGAGAAUGGAAUUCCCGGUGUAGCGGUGAAAUGCGCAGAUAUCGGGAAGAACACCCGUGGCGAAGGCGGUUCUCUGGGACGGUACUGACGCUGAGACGCGAAAGCGUGGGGAGCGAACAGG